GGAAUAUUGGUCAAUGGAGGCAACUCUGAACCAGCCAAGUAGCGUGCAGGAAGACGGCCCUAUGGGUUGUAAACUGCUUUUGCCGGGGAAUAAUUGCCAUUACGUGUAAUGGUUUGCAUGUACCCGGAGAAUAAGGACCGGCUAAUUCCGUGCCAGCAGCCGCGGUAAUACGGAAGGUCCGGGCGUUAUCUGGAUUUAUUGGGUUUAAAGGGAGCGCAGGCUGAUUGGUAAGCGUGUUGUGAAAUGUACCGGCUCAACCGGUGAAUUGCAGCGUGAACUGCCGAUCUUGAGUUCACUCGAGGGAUGCGGAAUUCGUGGUGUAGCGGUGAAAUGCUUAGAUAUCACGAAGAACUCCGAUUGCGAAGGCAGCGUCCCAGUGUGUUACUGACGCUAAAGCUCGAAAGUGCGGGUAUCGAACA
This 419-nucleotide ribosomal RNA is filed under the name uncultured Prevotella sp. RNAcentral describes it as "bacterial SSU rRNA". It matches the Rfam family "Bacterial small subunit ribosomal RNA", at positions 358 to 774 of the family's 1533-position model. The record is from RNAcentral. Lineage: Bacteria; Pseudomonadati; Bacteroidota; Bacteroidia; Bacteroidales; Prevotellaceae.